Molecule: ribosomal RNA, 441 nt
Filed under: uncultured bacterium
Lineage: Bacteria
Description: partial 16S ribosomal RNA
Rfam family: Bacterial small subunit ribosomal RNA
Source: RNAcentral
CCUACGGGAGGCUGCAGUCGGGAAUAUUGCGCAAUGGAGGAAACUCUGACGCAGUGACGCCGCGUGCAGGAAGAAGGUUUUCGGAUUGUAAAAUGCUUUAGACAGGGAAGAAAAAAGACAGUACCGGUAGAAUAAGCUCCGGCUAACUACGUGACAGCAGCCGCGGUAAUACGUAGGGAGCAAGCGUUAUCCGGAUUUAUUGGGUGGAAAGGGAGCGUAGACGGGGAAGCAAGUUAGUUGUGAAAUCCCUCGGCUUAAACGAGGAACUGCAACUAAAACUACUUCCCUUGAGUACUGGAGAGGAAAGUGGAAGUCCUGGUGUAGCGGUGAAAUGCGUAGAUAUUAGGAGGAACCCCAGUGGCGAAGGCGAAUUUCUGGACAGUAACUGACGUUGAGGCACGAAAGUGUGGGGAGCAAACAGGAUUAGAUACCCUUGUAGUC